RNAcentral lists this ribosomal RNA (252 nucleotides) under uncultured bacterium. Its description in RNAcentral is "partial 16S ribosomal RNA". It matches the Rfam family "Bacterial small subunit ribosomal RNA", at positions 524 to 776 of the family's 1533-position model. The record is from RNAcentral.
UACGUAGGUGGCGAGCGUUGUCCGGAUUUACUGGGCGUAAAGGGAGCGUAGGCGGAUUUUUAAGUGAGAUGUGAAAUACUCGGGCUCAACCAUUGUAUGCAUUGGAAACUGGCAGACUUGAGUGCAGGAGAGGAGAGUGGAAUUCCAUGUGUAGCGGUGAAAUGCGUAGAUAUAUGGAGGAACACCGGUGGCGAAAGCGGCUCUCUGGCCUGUAACUGACACUGAGGCUCGAAAGCGUGGGGAGCAAACAGG